Molecule: long non-coding RNA, 767 nt
Organism: Siniperca chuatsi (mandarin fish)
Lineage: Eukaryota; Metazoa; Chordata; Actinopteri; Centrarchiformes; Sinipercidae
Exons: 3
Source: RefSeq, a predicted model, not a curated record
CUCUGGGUUGACUAACUCUGAGCUGUCAAACUCAGAGUUUUCGGUUUCAGGACAGUUGAUAACAAUUAGUUUAAUCAUCUCUGAGUUAAGUUAACCCUGAGUAAAGCACAUGCAUGAUGAGAUAAAAAGCCCUCAUCAAUGGAAGGCAGAUAACAUGAUUCAUCAUGGCAACAGGAGCAAAAAAGGGCUCGAUCCUCCUACUUCUCCCCAGUGGAGUUAGAAAUCUUGAAUGAAUGCGUAUGCAAAAUCCAGUAGAAAAAACGCUGAUGCCUGAAAAACAGGUGGGGGUCCACCACCGCUCACAGAGCCCGAAGAUCUCUUCAGCCUCAAUCAAAACAGUGGGCGACCUAUUUCUGAAGGCAUCUCUGGAGGAAGCUCAACCACCCCCCAGGACACAAGGGCCUGCAUAAGAGAGCAAUGCUGGAAAUUACAGUGAGGAAGAGGGUCCAUCCACCUCCACAGCACAACUUACCUCACUAAGAUGCUGUUCAGCAUUGGCUCAUGACUUACAAUGAAACUAAGUAGACCUGGCACUGUGAAAUUCAUGUCAAUCCUUUGUGUUCCUACAGCUCCCUGUGAAACAGGUGUACUUAGAGAAACAAAUUGAGAAAUCUAAUUUAGAAAUGGACCACAAAAGGCUGCAAAAGACAAAAAUAGAACUGCUGGAACAUCAGUUAAAGGUGGGUGAGGUGCCCACAGGUGGAUGAUUUUACUUGUUUGAACAACAUAAAAUAUUAACUACUGUACUGCAUUUGUACUUGUGGGAA